AUAACCGAGGCCUUGUCUGUGCAGCAGCACACCAGGCCCAGAUCCACAGCCCUGGACAGCUGUCCCACGCAAGCCCUUCCUUGGCAGAUUCCGACCACAACUUGAGCGCGCAGAGAAAAAUAAGACCCCAGCCCCAGACUCUCCCCAAACCAGCCCUGGGUCCCUCCCGGAGUUAGAGCUAGGGAGGCGAGGUGGUAGAGAUAGAAAAGUAGGCACAGAGAGACUGAAGAUGAAAGAAAAAUAAAGGGAAGGGAAGACAGAAGGAAGAAGUAAAGGAAGGGAAAAAACAAAAAAGCACAAAGAGGAAGGAAGCGAGGAAGAAAAGGAAGAGUCAAAGGCGACUCCUGGGAGCCGAGGGCAGCUUACAGAAAGAAGGGUAAGUGACAAGGCCAGGAUCCCAGCCCCUUUCCGCCCUGUCCCUCCUAGUUUGGCCUGAGUCUCUCUCAAAGGGAUCUUUCCUGAUCUCUACCCUGGAUUGGGACUGGUAGUAUCCCAGCCUUGCAGGAGAAUGGCAGGAUCCCUGGCCAGGCACAGGCCUGGAGUGGGGGGAGGCCCAGGAUGGAAGCGUGCGCCCCUGACCUUGAAUGGCUCAGGGCCCAGAAUUCCUACCACGCCCCCGGCGUCCGCCAAGAAGCAGCUAACCUGACCAUACCUGCUCGGGGCCAGGUGGGCACCGGGUGGGAGGUGAAGCCAGCAGCCUGACAAAGCUCUGAGAAGGAGGCAGGGACGCGGCUCCUGCACGGGGAAAAGCCGAGGUUGCCACCGCAGGCCUGGCACGACCAGGGCCUGGAUGCCCCGCCCGGCCCGGCCCCCGCGCGCACAGGUACCUGGAGACGAUUUCAACUGAAGUAAUGAAGGCAGUGUCGUGCUGUCGAGAGAAAGGUGGAUCCCAACAACAGGAAACUACCUAAAUCACCGACCAGUUCUGGUGCUGCCCGCGCGGGGCUGCCUCGCCCGCCGCUGCCGCCGCCACUGCCGCCGCCACUGCCGCCGCCAAAGGGAGAACCCUGCGAUCGCGCCCGGCCGACCCCCCCCCCCCCACUUGCCAACCUGCGCCUGCGCUGCCACUGUGUGAGCGGCGCUACCGCUAAGGCAUCACGGAGGGAGAAGCCACCGGCCCCGGUAAGGUAAACCUGGAAGAGGGAAGGAAGGAAGGUAAAGGAGAGAGAGGAAAAUGGAAGGAGAGGAGAAAGCGAGAAGAGAGGAGAGCGAGCAGUGUGCGUGCUCGUUUCCCAAAUCUUGCUUCUCAGCGAGCACGCGCCGAGCUGCGGCAGCCCCGAGCAACUCGAAAGCGCCAGGGUCGGCACGCAGCCCGGCUCCCAGUCUGGUCUCGGCCUCCGGCGGCUCGCUCCCCGCCACUCGCUCUCCCCCUCUCUCCCUCCCAGCCAGCCAGCCAGCCGGGGCGCGCGCUCCCGCGCCCCCUCCCCCUGCCGUCGCGCCCCCCCCCCACCUCCCGCGAGCAGGAAACGCGUGGCCCCGAGGAGGGCGACCAGGUGGGGGAGGCCAUGCUGGGGGAGGGGGCCAUGCAGCCAGCAGCAGUCUACCUAACUGCUGCCGCGGACGCUAGUGACGCGCUCUUGGCCCAGCCUGCUCCCCGGAUUCUUAGGCUGGGGGUCAUCUGGGACCAGGGGACCCACAAAACAACCGGCGUCUGCGAGCCUCCCUGGGGCUCCCGAAAGAAAUCCUGUUUGGCUUCCUCUGUCUAUGCAGCUCCCCUCUCAACUGAAACCACUGGUCCAAGACAGCCACAAUCCAGAUAUACUAGCAAGUCAUAAAACUGAACAAAAGCCGACAAACCUUACGGCACCAGGGCUAUAGGGCCCAGACAAAUUACGACCGUCUAGGUAAUAUUUAAAUAGAUGCCUAAAGUAAUUGCAGGGGGCGCGGGCUAGUCCUCCUGUUGUAAAAGUGGUGGCCGGGAUAAAGUGGAAGGUGAAGAUAAGAAGUCAAAAAAAGAGGUAAAAUUAAAAAGCUUCAUUCCACAGCUUUUAUUCUUCUAUAAGAACAUAAACAUCGUCUUUUUUCCACGCACAGCAGCAUUACAAUAUUAAUUUAUUCUGAUUUAAGAUUAGAAGUAAAUAGAGCUAGAACUAACAUUUAUAAUAACGAUAGAAUGCAUUUGCAUAAAACAAGAUUGGCAAUUUUUCAUAAUAAUAGACAUUUAUACAGAUUUGUAUUUAUAAUUUUUCUUUUUCUGCACCUACAGGUUUGACCCUUUUAUGCAUGUAACUUCACAGUAUAAAGGAAACCCAAACAAAGUCUCCCUUCUCUAGUCUAUUCCGCUUGCCCCAGCCCUCCUUGGGUUCUAUGAAUUUUAGAAAGGAAAAAGAAAGAGGAAGAAGAAAAAAGAAAAUGAGAAAGAAAACUCUCCACAAGACAGGGAGAAUUGCGGUGUGCUUGUCGUGUGUUACCAGUGGUAACAAUUACUUAAUGACAAAAAAAACCCCACUAAAUCCACACGCAUAAACAAAACUACCUUAGGUUAUUUAUCUACAGACAGAAGGAUAUGGAAAUUCAGAGGUAAGUGAAAUAAUUUAGUCCCACAAUGCAAGACUAACACAAACUGGAAGAGAAGUUUCCUUCUCCUGGUCGUUCUUUUUUUUUUUUUUUCUUUUUCUUUUUUUUUUCCUUUUAAAGCUGGGAUAUCUUGCAGAGGAAGGAAAGAUUAAUCUUUCUUACUCUCAAUUUUUUAAUCAGCCAAAGUCAAGCCCUUUUGCCAGCCUGCAUGUCCAUGCCUGUAAGCCCUUCUCUUUGCCAAGGAAG
Molecule: long non-coding RNA, 2763 nt
Filed under: Lynx pardinus (Iberian lynx)
Lineage: Eukaryota; Metazoa; Chordata; Mammalia; Carnivora; Felidae
Source: RNAcentral